This 316-nucleotide long non-coding RNA is filed under the name Physcomitrium patens. RNAcentral's name for it is "long non-coding RNA (PPAT_LNC013139)". Lineage: Eukaryota; Viridiplantae; Streptophyta; Bryopsida; Funariales; Funariaceae. The record is from RNAcentral.
UGUAUAUAGAAAAAGAAACUGGAAUGGCUAUUGCCAAAAGACAAGAAAACUAGAGACCCUUGAAACUAGACUGGAAGCAAGAAAGGAGUUGACAAGAGUGAAGAAGGCUUCACUCUUGUCUCUAUAUAUACUAUCUAACUAGGGACUAUGUGGCGAUGUUCUAUAGGACCUCCAAUAUGUGUUGACUUUGUAGGUGUCAUGGACACAAAAUAUAGACUUGAAAUCUAACAAGAAGUUCAAGAAGAAGUGGCAGAACUAGAUUAAACAAAUGAGUACAAGAACAAUACCAGAAAGGUGAGCUAAAACUCCAAGAGAU